AUAUCAUCUUUUGUAUUUCGAUGAUUAUAGUUGUUAAAUUAAAGAAUAUGAAUGAUGUAAAAGAAUUUAUUUAAUAUCAAAGUUAUAUUUUGGGAGAAAUGAGGUAUAAAAAGAAAUGAUGUAAGAAUGUGAAUGAUCUUAAUUAUAGUUGGGUGCAUGUAUGUAAUUUAAAUUUAAUCAUAUUACUUGUUGUUGUUAGUUU
Molecule: long non-coding RNA, 202 nt
Filed under: Ananas comosus (pineapple)
Lineage: Eukaryota; Viridiplantae; Streptophyta; Magnoliopsida; Poales; Bromeliaceae
Description: long non-coding RNA (ACOM_LNC043912)
Source: RNAcentral